Molecule: regulatory RNA element, 111 nt
Rfam family: TPP riboswitch aptamer (THI element)
About the family: Vitamin B(1) in its active form thiamin pyrophosphate (TPP) is an essential coenzyme that is synthesised by coupling of pyrimidine and thiazole moieties in bacteria. The previously detected thiamin-regulatory element, thi box was extended, resulting in a new, highly conserved RNA secondary structure, the THI element, which is widely distributed in eubacteria and also occurs in some archaea. Analysis of operon structures identified a large number of new candidate thiamin-regulated genes, mostly transporters, in various prokaryotic organisms.
Source: Rfam
ACGAGCAACUAGGGGAGCUGGAGGAGUCCGGCUGAGAGGAAAACCACUCUGUUUUCGACCCUGUCACCUGAACUGGAUAAUACCAGCGUAGGAAAGUUGAGAUCGAAGACA